This 1125-nucleotide ribosomal RNA is filed under the name Metabacillus idriensis. RNAcentral describes it as "bacterial SSU rRNA". It matches the Rfam family "Bacterial small subunit ribosomal RNA", at positions 56 to 1164 of the family's 1533-position model. The record is from RNAcentral. Lineage: Bacteria; Bacillati; Bacillota; Bacilli; Caryophanales; Bacillaceae.
UGCAGUCGAGCGGACUUGAUGGAGCUUGCUCCAUCAUGUUAGCGGCGGACGGGUGAGUAACACGUGGGCAACCUGCCUGUAAGACUGGGAUAACUCCGGGAAACCGGAGCUAAUACCGGAUAGUAUCUUGAACCGCAUGGUUCAAGUUGGAAAGACGGUUUCGGCUGUCACUUACAGAUGGGCCCGCGGCGCAUUAGCUAGUUGGUGAGGUAAUGGCUCACCAAGGCAACGAUGCGUAGCCGACCUGAGAGGGUGAUCGGCCACACUGGGACUGAGACACGGCCCAGACUCCUACGGGAGGCAGCAGUAGGGAAUCUUCCGCAAUGGACGAAAGUCUGACGGAGCAACGCCGCGUGAGUGAUGAAGGUUUUCGGAUCGUAAAACUCUGUUGUUAGGGAAGAACAAGUGCGAGAGUAACUGCUCGCACCUUGACGGUACCUAACCAGAAAGCCACGGCUAACUACGUGCCAGCAGCCGCGGUAAUACGUAGGUGGCAAGCGUUGUCCGGAAUUAUUGGGCGUAAAGCGCGCGCAGGCGGUUUCUUAAGUCUGAUGUGAAAGCCCCCGGCUCAACCGGGGAGGGUCAUUGGAAACUGGGAAACUUGAGUGCAGAAGAGGAGAGUGGAAUUCCACGUGUAGCGGUGAAAUGCGUAGAGAUGUGGAGGAACACCAGUGGCGAAGGCGACUCUCUGGUCUGUAACUGACGCUGAGGCGCGAAAGCGUGGGGAGCGAACAGGAUUAGAUACCCUGGUAGUCCACGCCGUAAACGAUGAGUGCUAAGUGUUAGAGGGUUUCCGCCCUUUAGUGCUGCAGCUAACGCAUUAAGCACUCCGCCUGGGGAGUACGGUCGCAAGACUGAAACUCAAAGGAAUUGACGGGGGCCCGCACAAGCGGUGGAGCAUGUGGUUUAAUUCGAAGCAACGCGAAGAACCUUACCAGGUCUUGACAUCCUUUGCCACUUCUAGAGAUAGAAGGUUCCCCUUCGGGGGACAAAGUGACAGGUGGUGCAUGGUUGUCGUCAGCUCGUGUCGUGAGAUGUUGGGUUAAGUCCCGCAACGAGCGCAACCCUUGAUCUUAGUUGCCAGCAUUCAGUUGGGCACUCUAAGGUGACUGCCGGUGACAAACC